UUAGGCGACCAUAGCGGCGGGGUUACACCCGUACCCAUCCCGAACACGGAAGUUAAGCCCGCCUGCGUUCCAUCCGGUACUGGGGUGCGCGAGCCCCCGGGACAGAUGGCUCCGAGA
RNAcentral lists this ribosomal RNA (117 nucleotides) under Halobacteriales archaeon. The record is from RNAcentral. RNAcentral also lists the same sequence under 1 other name. Lineage: Archaea; Methanobacteriati; Methanobacteriota; Halobacteria; Halobacteriales.